CCCGUGGUGUAGUGGUUAACAUGCCUGCCUGUCACGCAGGAGAUCGCCGGUUCGACCCCGGAGAUCGGAA
RNAcentral lists this transfer RNA (70 nucleotides) under Bacillus sp. Root11. RNAcentral's name for it is "tRNA-Asp". The stretch from base 5 to 62 matches the Rfam family "tRNA", at positions 8 to 63 of the family's 71-position model. Rfam says of the family: Transfer RNA (tRNA) molecules are approximately 80 nucleotides in length. Their secondary structure includes four short double-helical elements and three loops (D, anti-codon, and T loops). Lineage: Bacteria; Bacillati; Bacillota; Bacilli; Caryophanales; Bacillaceae. The record is from RNAcentral.